RNAcentral lists this ribosomal RNA (404 nucleotides) under uncultured bacterium. RNAcentral describes it as "bacterial SSU rRNA". It matches the Rfam family "Bacterial small subunit ribosomal RNA", at positions 356 to 772 of the family's 1533-position model. The record is from RNAcentral.
GGGGAAUAUUGCACAAUGGGCGAAAGCCUGAUGCAGCGACGCCGCGUGAGGGAUGACGGCCUUCGGGUUGUAAACCUCUUUCAGCAGGGACGAAGCGUGAGUGACGGUACCUGUAGAAGAAGCGCCGGCCAACUACGUGGCAGCAGCCGCGGUAAGACGUAGGGCGCAAGCGUUGUCCGGAUUUAUUGGGCGUAAAGAGCUCGUAGGCGGCUCGUUGCGUCGGCUGUGAAAACCCGCAGCUCAACUGUGGGCUUGCAGCCGAUACGGGCGGGCUGGAGUUCGGUAGGGGAGACUGGAAUUCCUGGUGUAGCGGUGAAAUGCGCAGAUAUCAGGAGGAACACCGGUGGCGAAGGCGGGUCUCUGGGCCGAUACUGACGCUGAGGAGCGAAAGCGUGGGGAGCGAA